UGGGGAAUCUUGCGCAAUGCGCGAAAGCGUGACGCAGCAACGCCGCGUGCGGGAAGACGGCCUUCGGGUUGUAAACCGCUUUCAGUUGGGACGAAGCUCUUCCGGUUAAUAGCCGGCUGGAGUGACGGUACCUUCACAAGAAGCCCCGGCUAACUACGUGCCAGCAGCCGCGGUAAUACGUAGGGGGCAAGCGUUGUCCGGAAUCAUUGGGCGUAAAGAGCGUGUAGGCGGCCCGGUAAGUCCGCUGUGAAAGUCCAGGGCUCAACCCUGGGAUGCCGGUGGAUACUGUCGGGCUCGAGUCCGGAAGAGGAGUGUGGAAUUCCUGGUGUAGCGGUGAAAUGCGCAGAUAUCAGGAGGAACACCAAUGGCGAAGGCAGCACUCUGGGACGUGACUGACGCUGAGACGCGAAAGCGUGGGGAGCAAACA
This 427-nucleotide ribosomal RNA is filed under the name uncultured Conexibacter sp. RNAcentral's name for it is "bacterial SSU rRNA". It matches the Rfam family "Bacterial small subunit ribosomal RNA", at positions 355 to 774 of the family's 1533-position model. Lineage: Bacteria; Bacillati; Actinomycetota; Thermoleophilia; Solirubrobacterales; Conexibacteraceae. The record is from RNAcentral.